RNAcentral lists this ribosomal RNA (468 nucleotides) under uncultured bacterium. RNAcentral's name for it is "partial 16S ribosomal RNA". It matches the Rfam family "Bacterial small subunit ribosomal RNA", at positions 28 to 507 of the family's 1533-position model. The record is from RNAcentral.
GACGAACGCUGGCGGCGUGCUUAACACAUGCAAGUCGAACGGAAAGACCCUGCUUUUGUGGGGUGCUCGAGUGGCGAACGGGUGAGUAACACGUGAGUAACCUGCCCUUGACUUUGGGAUAACUUCAGGAAACUGGGGCUAAUACCGGAUAGGAGCUCCUGCUGCAUGGUUGGGGUUGGAAAGUUUCGGCGGUUGGGGAUGGACUCGCGGCUUAUCAGCUUGUUGGUGGGGUAGUGGCUUACCAAGGCUUUGACGGGUAGCCGGCCUGAGAGGGUGACCGGCCACAUUGGGACUGAGAUACGGCCCAGACUCCUACGGGAGGCAGCAGUGGGGAAUAUUGCACAAUGGGCGGAAGCCUGAUGCAGCAACGCCGCGUGCGGGAUGACGGCCUUCGGGUUGUAAACCGCUUUCGCCUGUGACGAAGCGUGAGUGACGGUAAUGGGUAAAGAAGCACCGGCUAACUACGUG